RNAcentral lists this transfer RNA (66 nucleotides) under Nacella magellanica. RNAcentral describes it as "tRNA-Trp". RNAcentral also lists the same sequence under 2 other names. Lineage: Eukaryota; Metazoa; Mollusca; Gastropoda; Nacellidae. The record is from RNAcentral.
GAAACUUUAGGUUAAGUAAACCCCGGGCCUUCAAAGCCUGCAACGAGACUAUAAGCUCAAGUUUUG